This 353-nucleotide ribosomal RNA is filed under the name uncultured Anoxybacillus sp. Its description in RNAcentral is "bacterial SSU rRNA". It matches the Rfam family "Bacterial small subunit ribosomal RNA", at positions 1029 to 1382 of the family's 1533-position model. Lineage: Bacteria; Bacillati; Bacillota; Bacilli; Caryophanales; Anoxybacillaceae. The record is from RNAcentral.
GGGUGACAGGUGGUGGCAUGGUUGUCGUCAGCUCGUGUCGUGAGAUGUUGGGUUAAGUCCCGCAACGAGCGCAACCCUCGACCUUAGUUGCCAGCAUUCAGUUGGGCACUCUAAGGUGACUGCCGGCUAAAAGUCGGAGGAAGGUGGGGAUGACGUCAAAUCAUCAUGCCCCUUAUGACCUGGGCUACACACGUGCUACAAUGGGCGGUACAAAGGGUCGCGAACCCGCGAGGGGGAGCCAAUCCCAAAAAGCCGCUCUCAGUUCGGAUUGCAGGCUGCAACUCGCCUGCAUGAAGCCGGAAUCGCUAGUAAUCGCGGAUCAGCAUGCCGCGGUGAAUACGUUCCCGGGCCUU